Molecule: long non-coding RNA, 625 nt
Organism: Gallus gallus (chicken)
Lineage: Eukaryota; Metazoa; Chordata; Aves; Galliformes; Phasianidae
Exons: 4
Source: RefSeq, a predicted model, not a curated record
AACACCAGGAAAACCUUGGCCUCCAUACAGCCUACAAACAUGGCAGAACUUGCUCUCUGUACACAGGACAGCCUACAAACCCAACAAAAGUGAUGCAGAGAAGAAGAUAACAACCUGACCAUCUUCUCCAGAGUAGGAAAGAAUAAGAUACAGGUUUGAGGUGCAGCAUGGAUAUAAAGUGAGAAAAAAAAGACAACCAGUAAACAUAAGGAGAAGGCAAUCCACUCCACAAAGGCACCUGGGUUACUUAGUCUCACACAAAACCCAAGAGAACACACAACCCCAGUCCUCAUCACAAAGAGCUCCAGCACACCCAUGGGAAGAGGAAGGUGCCACGAGGCAGCCAGGAGGCAGCCAGCCUUUGAGGAAUAGUGACCAACACCUCCUCCACCAAUGCACAUAUUCCAACAAAUUCUGGCAACAUCUUUGAAAAUCAUCAAUAUGGGGAAGACAGUUGCAUACAGAAAGAGAGGCACAUCCGGAGUCCAAGAGGCUACACCAGCAAAGCAUCCAUGGGCGCUCUCUCAUGUCUGCCUUCCUCUGCCGUGCGGUGCACCUACUUCUGUACUUAGGUCUCUGCUACCAUCUUUAGCCCAUGGUUUCUUAAAACUGAUGGGUGCCGAAA